UACGUAGGGGGCAAGCGUUAUCCGGAUUCAUUGGGCGUAAAGAGCGCGUAGGCGGCUUGUUAAGUCAGAUGUGAAAACCGGGGGCUUAACCCGCGGCCUGCAUCUGAAACUGGCAGGCUUGAGUCUGGUAGAGGAGUGUGGAAUUCCCAGUGUAGCGGUGAAAUGCGCAGAUAUUGGGAGGAACACCAGUGGCGAAGGCGGCACUCUGGGCCACGACUGACGCUGAGGCGCGAAAGCUAGGGGAGCAAACAGG
RNAcentral lists this ribosomal RNA (253 nucleotides) under uncultured bacterium. RNAcentral describes it as "partial 16S ribosomal RNA". It matches the Rfam family "Bacterial small subunit ribosomal RNA", at positions 524 to 776 of the family's 1533-position model. The record is from RNAcentral.